AUGGCGCCGGCUGCGGACUGCGCCACCACGACCACGUACCACAGCGUGUGCACGAUCGAGAAGGUCAGGAUCGCGCUGGAACAGUUCGAGCGCGGCAAGCUGGGGCACCACCAGCAGCAACACGGCGGUGCAGGCGCGGGCGCCUCCCCGUCGUCAUCCGUCAAGCGCUGCAGCGAUGCCAGCGUCGUGGAGCAGGGCGACGGUUGCGACUCCCUGUCCGCCAGCGCCGGCGGCGGGGGCAUGGCACGGAAAAGUGAAUGGAACAAAAAAACUAAACAAAUCAGUGCACUGACAAUAAUCGACCCAAUAGUUACUAAGGUGUAA
RNAcentral lists this ribosomal RNA (324 nucleotides) under Triticum aestivum (bread wheat). RNAcentral describes it as "partial small subunit ribosomal RNA". The record is from RNAcentral. Lineage: Eukaryota; Viridiplantae; Streptophyta; Magnoliopsida; Poales; Poaceae.